CCUACGGGAGGCAGCAGUGAGGAAUAUUGGUCAAUGGACGCAAGUCUGAACCAGCCAUGCCGCGUGCAGGAAGACGGCUCUCUGAGUUGUAAACUGCUUUUGUACGGGGGUAAACGCAGAUACGCGUAUCUGUCUGAAAGUAUCGUACGAAUAAGGCUCGACUAACUCCCUGCCAGCAGCCGCGUUAAUACGGCGGAUUCACGCGUUAUCCGGAUGUAUUGGGGUUAAAGGGUGCGUAGGCGGUCUGAUAAGUUAGAGGUGAAAUCCCGAGGCUCAACUUCGGAAUUGCAGCUGAUACUGUUCGGCUAGAGAGUAGUUGCGGUAGGCGGAAUGUAUGGUGGAGCGGGGAAAUGCUUAGAGAUCAUACAGAACACCGAUUGCGAAGGCAGCUUACCAAGCUACUACUGACGUUGAGGCACGAAAGCAUGGGGAGCAAACAGGAUUAGAUACCCCAGUAGUC
This 460-nucleotide ribosomal RNA is filed under the name uncultured bacterium. Its description in RNAcentral is "partial 16S ribosomal RNA". It matches the Rfam family "Bacterial small subunit ribosomal RNA", at positions 338 to 795 of the family's 1533-position model. The record is from RNAcentral.